AAGGUAGCAUAAUCACUUGUNUNUUAAAUAGGGNNUAGUAUGAANGGCAUCANGAGGGUUUAANNGUNUNUUNUCCCCCAAUCAGUGAAAUNGACCUUCCCGUGCAGAGGCGGGAAUAAUAAUNCAAGACGAGAAGACCCUGUGGAGNUUAAGACACAUAGCUCAACACAUANUUAAUUUAACNUACCNGGACAAAAUGUAUAAAGUUNUGAGCNAUAGUCUUNGGUUGGGGUGACCUCGGAGUACAAAACAACCUCCGAAUGAAAUCUAACCCAGAWUAACGAAUCUAAGUGUAUCAUUACCAGUAAUUGACCCAAUUAAUUGAUCAACGGAACAAGUUACCCCAGGGAUAACAGCGCAAUCCUAUUUGAGAGCCCAUAUCGAAAAUUAGGGUUUACGACCUCGAUGUUGGAUCAGGACAUCCAAAUGGUGCAGCAGNUAUUAANGGUUCGUUUGUUCAACGAUUAAAGUCCUACGUGAUCUGAGUUCAGACCGGAGAAAUCCAGGUCGGUUU
RNAcentral lists this ribosomal RNA (514 nucleotides) under Planigale sp. PLANIMW996. Its description in RNAcentral is "partial 16S ribosomal RNA". It matches the Rfam family "Bacterial large subunit ribosomal RNA", at positions 1953 to 2637 of the family's 2925-position model. The record is from RNAcentral. Lineage: Eukaryota; Metazoa; Chordata; Mammalia; Dasyuromorphia; Dasyuridae.